Oncorhynchus tshawytscha (Chinook salmon) is the source of this 2399-nucleotide long non-coding RNA. Lineage: Eukaryota; Metazoa; Chordata; Actinopteri; Salmoniformes; Salmonidae. The record is from Ensembl.
CAGACACUUACAGUACAGACCCUUACUGUACAGACCCUUACAGAACAGACCCUUGCAGUACAGACCCUUACAGUACAGACCUUUACAGUACAGACACUUACUGUACAGACCCUUACAGUACAGACCCUUACUGUACAGACACUUACAGUACAGACCCUUACAGUACAGACCCUUACUGUACAGACCCUUACAGUACAGACACUUACAGUACAGACCCUUACUGUACAGACCCUUACAGUACAGACCCUUACAGUACAGACCCUUACUGUACAGACCCUUACAGUACAGACCCUUACUGUACAGACACUUACAGUACAGACCCUUACAGUACAGACCCUUACAGUACAGACGCUUACUGUACAGACCCUUACAGUACAGACCCUUACAGUACAGACCCUUACUGUACAGACACGUACAGUACAGACCUUUACAGUACAGACCCUUACAGUACAGACCCUUACUGUACAGUACAGUAAUUCUCUGCUUUCCUCAUCUGGCUUCUCCACUCAAACUCAACUACAGGAAAUUAUUGAUAUCUUUAGUUAUUGUAAAAUCUAAUAUAAUGUCUAAUAUAUCUAAUGCAUAUUCUGUAAUGAAUUAUAGUAUUUGCUUAUAAAAUGCAUCUUUCCUUCCUCUCCUUCCUGAAGCAAUGGCUGAUCUGAUCUGACUUGACUGGAUCUUUGUGAACAGAGAGUGGAAGGGAUCAUUUGCACCCAGCUCCUCCUUGUUCAGUAAUAAUUUGUCAUCCUGUAGGAAAGAGGAAAGAAAUGUGAUUCAAUCAAAUCGCUGAAAAGAAGCAUCAUGUUAUAUACAGUAAGUAUUGUCAUGGCUGGAUUGGGUUGGGCUAGGUUGGGCCAGGUCGGGCUGGGUUGGGCCGGAUUGGGUUGGGCUGGGUUGGGCCGGGUCAGGCUGUGUUGGGCUGGGUCGGGCCAGGCUGGGUUGGACCGGGUCAGGCUGGGUCGGGCUGGUUUGUGCUGGGUCGAGUUGGGUUGGGCUAGGUUGAGCUGAGUUGGGCUGGGUUGGGCUGGCUUGGGCUGGGUUGGGCUGCCUCGGGCUGGGUUGAUAGUAUUUCAUAAAAACAGAUCAUUCUCAGGUCUGAUGUGCUGAGGCAGUGGGCCAGGUAUGUGGGGUGUAGGCGCGUAUGCGUGCGGUGUGUGACUGUGGGUGAGUCUAUAUCUCUGCUGAACUGACAGAAAUCUCACUGAGGAGGAUUGUAGUAGUGAGAGCAGCGAGACAGGGACGAAGAACUCAAAUCACUUGCAUGUGAUUUAUGGAUGUUAGACACCCCUACUGUCUCUCUCUCUCUCUCUUUCUCUCUCUAACGAGGAGUUCUCGGAGAAGAUUUACUCCUUUUUAUCUCUCUAGUGACACAUCUCUCAUCAGUCAUCUCUCAUCAGUCCAUCCUGUCUUGCAGUAGAGAGAAUGGGAGGGGCAGUGACAGUUAGAAUGCAUUCCCUGAGGGGAUGUACACUGAGAGGUGGCACUCAGCGCACACACACACGCAUGCACACGCACACACACACAAACACACACUGAAAAGCAUGAAAACAUGCACUCAACAAACAUUUUCCAAAGUACACAGUGUCUCCAUUCCUCUCCACCCCUUCCAAUCUUCUGUUCGUCCCUCCCAUCAUAUCCUGGGAGUUCAUCCCCCCUCUCGCUCUGCUGAUAGUGAAGGUCACACAUAAACACACCCAUGGCCUUUAACUUUGUAUAUUUGUAUUGUUUCAAAUGGCUCCUUCUUCAUAUUUCCAUGUAUCCAUAUUCACCUUUUCAGUCUGAUUUUUUUAGAGACAAUUCAUAAGCUAGGCAUUUCUCGAAACUACUGUUUGUGUGUUCUGUGAUAAAUUGCAUUACCAUAUGGUGCCACACUGAUUCCAUUCAAGAUGAUGUGGAAUUUACAUUGACAUUCAUUUUCAAAUAACUAGAUAAGUCAUCCACAUAUCUCAUAGUAACUAAAAUGUUCCCCAAUAAAGUAGUUAUCGGUCACGACUUCUGCCGAAGUCGAUGCCUCUCUUUGUUCUGGCGGUGCUCGGCGGUCGACGUCACCGGUCUUCUAGCCAUCAUUGAUCUAUGUUUCAUUUUCCAUUGGUUUUGUCUGGUCUUCUUACACACCUGGUUACAAUCUCAUUCAUUAAUUGUUGUGUAUUUAACCCUCUGUUUCCCCUCAUGUCCUUGUCAGAGAUUGUUUAUUGUUAUGUUCAUGUUUUAUGGAUUGGUGUGCGAUGGGUUCUUGUACCCACAUUUAUUUGAUUAUGGACUUUGGUUUUGGAGUUUGUUUUACGUUAUUAAACUACUCCAUUAUACCAGGUUUGAUUCUCCUGCGCCUGACUUCCCUGCCACCUACACACACGAUAUGACAUGAUCAGUAGUUAUCAGGGCAGGAGGGGGGUUAUCAG